GCUGAGAGUGCACACUGCACUCCAGCCUGAGUGACAGAGCAAGCUUCUGUCUCAAAAAAAAAAGACUAAAACUUACCGCAAGAUAAGUUUUAGUCUUGUUAUACCAUAUUCCAGCAUGAUUUAUCUUUGGUAAAACUGGGAGACUGGACAGGAAGAUUACGUUUUGUUUAAAAAGAAAAUGUAUAGUGCACCAGUUAUUGGAUUCCAGUUCUUGUCUGUUGUUUUUGAGUUUUUAUUAUUUUCUACAAUUUGGAUUGGCUCUUCAAUUCUUUCUGGGCUCCAAACCAACAUUUUCAAAAUUUUCUUCUAUUUUUCAGACUAGGACUCAAUGAAAUUGCUGCCCCCAUGUUCCUGAGGCUCUGCAAGCUGAAGCUUAUUUCUCAUGAUAUAGGCAAGAAAAAUGUGUCAGGUUGCCACCACCUUCCUCCCUGGUAAUGGGAGAAGAUGGUAUACUACCCAACUAAUUUUAUGGCAUCUGUGGAUUAUGCUCUUUAGAAAGGAAGAUUUCCUCCCUCAAACAAGACCAGAAGGAGCCUGGUUUUCCCUAGAAUUCUCCUCACAUCUCCCCAGGACACCCUCCAGGCCUUUGUCAGGGCCAGAAUUUUCUGCUCUUACGAUGCUGAUGAUUGUCUAAGAUUGCACCAUCCACCCUGGAGGUUGCUGACUCCCAUUUGAUUGCUGGCCUGCCACUCAUCCUGUGCUGUUUUCUUGGAGCCUGACCUCCUCAGUGAUUGCUGCUGGAGAGACUGAAUGGUGCAACCUGGAAGUGCGGUGUAGCUGAUGCUCUGUGGUGGAAACUGACCAGAUGGAGAGAGGAGUCUGCAGAGAAGUCUUCUCUUUCUUCCUCACCCCAUAGUAAGCCCACACAGAGUUCUGGUCCUCACCACAGUGCCUUAGGGAAUGGAGCUCCCAGGAUGCCCACUUGAGCUGGUUCUCCACAGCAUCAAGCUCAGAACUUGGUAAUCCCUGAGCUUCUUCUUGAGAUACCAUGUCUUCUACUAGUACUUCCCGUUUUCGUCGACGGAGAGAAACCUGGAAACAGAAAGAUUUGAUUCAGAGAAGGAACUGUAAUGAGAAUCAGAACUAAAAACACGUAAGAGAAACCCCAUGAAACAAAUACUGCAGAAGCCUAGAUGGCAAAGCGGCACAGAUAACAAGGAGUGGUAGGGGAAUGGGGGAAAAGGCAUAAACAUAAUUCUAACUUAGUUGAGUGGAAUUAAUUCAGCAGCUUUGCCUACUACCUAUGCCAGUGCUUCUGACACAGGAAAUGACACAAGCAGGCUCACCGGUUGUCCAGGGUCAUCAAGUUCACUCUCCAAAUCCUCCAGCACUGUCACUGCCUCCUCUCCAUUCUCUGGAUGAUGAUCUCGAACCCAAGUCUGUAGCUCUUUGGGUAGGAUGGCAACAAACUGCUCCAGCACUACCAGCUCCAAGAUUUGUUCUUUUGUGUGCGUCUCUGGCCUGAGCCACAGACGGCAAAGUUCUCGGAGCUGGCUCACAGCCUCACGGGGCCCAGGUGAAUCCUGGUAUCCAAACUGCCUGAAUCGCUGUCGGAAAAUCUCUGGGUCUGGGAGAUGGUUCCAGGGGAUACUUGAUCCCUCUUCGCCAUCAGGAUCCUCCUCCAACUUCACUCUCAGAAUUUUUUCCUCUUCAUCUGGAGUUGGGAUGAUAAGUAUUGAAUCUUCUUCCACUGACUGUGCAGACAUUCUGAUUUAUAAUAUUU
RNAcentral lists this long non-coding RNA (1723 nucleotides) under Homo sapiens (human). RNAcentral's name for it is "HSALNT0393791". The record is from RNAcentral. Lineage: Eukaryota; Metazoa; Chordata; Mammalia; Primates; Hominidae.